GAUGAAAAUAAUACCUUCUUCCCUGGUAGUUGCAAGAACUAAAUGAGGGAAAGUAUGCGAAGCGCCCAGUCCAUUCCAUGGGAAGGUCGACUCCCAUCCUCCCCAUUGUAGCCUUCACCGCUGUCAUUCUGUAUCGGGCUUCGUUGGGAGGUGCUAGUCUGAGUUUGCUGAACAUGGGAGAGUGGUUGAGAACAUCCAUUCUGGAACUGGACUGGCUGGGUUCAAAAUCUAGGCUCAGAUCCACGACCGCACUCUGAUAAGUGACCUUGAGCAAGAUACUUUAACCUCUUUGAGCCUCAGUUUCUUCAUCUACAAAAUGAAAAUGAUGAUGGUACCGUGUGUGUGUGUGUGUGUGUGUGUGUGUUUGUGUGUGUGUGUGUGUGUGUGUGUGUGUGUGUGUGUGUGCUGGAAACUUUCUGAGGGCUGGGUGGUUUUCAGGACAGUGUCACCUGAGUUGUCACUGCCUUGAUGAGUUCAUGUGUGGUUGAGUAGUCUAGAUAAUGGUAUAACAGCAAGACAAGUACCCACAUGAUGAUAUUUGUCUCCUUAUAAGAGAAAUCCUUGCUGGAGUUCCCGUUGUGGCUCAUCGCGUUAAGAAUCAGAUUAGCAUCCUUGAGCACGAGGGUUCGAUCCCUGGCCUCGCCCAGUGGAUUAAGGAUCCAGCGUUGCCAUGAACUGUUGAUGUAGGUCACAGACGCAGCUCAGAUCCCACGUUGCUGCAGCUCUGAUUCGACCCCUAGCCUGGAGCCUCCAUAUACCGCAGGCGCAGCCCUGAAAAGACAAAAACAAAAAAGAAAGAGAGAAAUACUUGCUUAUUGUAGAAACUUUGAAAAACAUAAAGGAAAAAUAGAAAGGAACCAUGAUCCCACAACUCAGAAAUAAUCACCAUUAACAUUUUGGUAUAUUUCUUUCCAGUCUUGUUUCUGUGUAGAUAGCUGUUUUCCUAUAAUUGGGACCACAGGCCAUAUUGCUGACUACAUGCCUUCCUAUAUCCCCCACUGACCUGGUUGUCUGUGAGAUGAGCAUUUCCAAUGCCAUUCGAAAGAAUAUUUUUUGAAAUAGGGUUACUAUUUGUUUCACUUUGUUUUACUGAUUGAAAAAUGAUACAUUGAGGGAGUCGAUUAAUAAAUUGGUAGUGUUUUUUUGGAGGAGGGUGUCUGUCCCAUUACAUAUUGUCACCAGUGUCUUGGGCGAUAACAUGGGUGGCAUGUGAUCAGCUGGCACCUUUGUGUGUUAUUUGUCUUGGUGUCACAUACAUUCCUGGGUCCAGAGCAGUUGUCCAUUCAUUCAUUCCACAAAUAUUUAUUGCGUGUCCAUUAUGUGCCAGGCAUUGUUCUGUGUACUUGGGCUUCAUCAGUGAACAAAAAGGCAAAAAUUCCUUUCCUUGUAUAGCCAGGGGCAGGACUUGUAGGGCAGACAGUAAUAAGCUAAGUUAUAAAGCUCGUUAAAAGGUGAUGAACAUGAUGGACCAAACAAAAAUAUGGAGCUGAGCUAGGAGGAUAGUACUGGAGAGGGGGCCGUAGUGCAGUUUUAAAUAGGAUGACCAGGGUCAGCCUCUCUGAGAAAGAAGCAUUUGACCAGGGACUUGAAGAUGAGGAUCUGGUGAUGUAACUAUCUGGGGAUGGGGUGGGGAGGGGGGAAGGGUGGGUACCAGCAGAGGAAACAGCCAAAGCAAAGAUCCUGGGACUAGAGCCUCUGAGAGUGUUUGAGGAAUAGCAGGACCAGUGUGGCUGCUGUAGAGAGUCAUUCUUUUUUUAUUUUUUUGGCCAUGGCUGUGGUAUCUGGAAGUUCCCAGGCUAGGGAUUGAAGCCAUAGCAGUUGACAAUGCCGGAUCCUUAACCUGCUGUGCCACAAGAGAGCUCCUGGAGGGUCAUCCUUGAACAAAUGGCUGGACACUGAGAGGCAGAGUCAGUAUGUUGGUUAGGAGAGCUAGGAAUUAGAUAUAACAUAUGAUGUAUAUCUAAUCAUCUAAUAUCUAAUCAGGCUGUAACAUAUGAUGUAAAUUUUAUAAAAUGUAAAUUCCAAGAGUUCCCUUUGUGGCUUAUCAGUUAAUGAACCCGACUAGAAUACAUGAGGAUGCAGGUUCAAUCCCUGGCCUCGCUCAGUGGGUUAAGGAUCUGGCAUUGCUAUGAGCUGUGGUAUAGGUCACAGACGUGGCUCGGAUCCUGUUUUGCUGUGGCUGUGGUGUAGACAAGUGGCUGCAGCCCCAAUUCAACCCCUAGCCUGGGAACCUCCAUAUGCCAUAGGUGCGGCCCUAAAAAGCAAAUAAAUAAAUAAAAAUAAAAUAAAAUGUAAAUUCCAGCUAGAACCAAGUGUGCUCUGAUGUUAAAAAAUCCUCUGCAGUGCAAGUCACCUCAAAUCCCUCUUGUUAGGAAACUGGGUGUGAACUAUAAAUAAAUUACACAAGUACAGGAGAAGAGAGAUAUGGCUUCUCUAUUACAGAUAUGCUGAAUCCAUUUAUUCAGCAUGUGUUUAUUGAAUGUCCAACCUGGGCUCGGCCUUGCUCUAGGUGUUGGGGAUUCAGAACAAGACAAAAUUGCUGCCUUCAGGAUGCUUGCAUUCUAGUGGGUGGAGACUCAUGCUUGGGCAAGCUCAGAGAUAUGAUGUGAUAUUGGGUGGUGAUAACUGCUGAAACCAAGAGCAGUGAACCAGGGUUCUCAAGAGAAAAAUCAAGUCGAGUCUAAAUUAAUUGAGUCACCUGUGUGUUGCAGUUGCCAAAAAGCCAAAUUCCAUCUGAGGCUGUGUGAACUGAAUGCCCAGCACCUAGCUUGGGUUCCCUCUGCCCUCAGAUUGUCAAGCUGGACCCAGAGUGUGGCAUCUACAUUCUAGAAGGACAUUGAGAAGUCUCAACUUGUUCAGGGGAGAAUGAUUAAGAUCACAGGGGUGGAAGUGCUGUAGCACCAUCCAGAAGACAGGACCAGGAUCUGUGGAUAUAGGUUUCAGGGAGGUAGGUUGAGGAAUUUUCUUAUGGUCCGGACUGACCAGUGAUGGAAUGGGCUGUGAGAGAGGAUGGGAGUCCAUCCUCCACAGUGCUUCAGAAGGGCCUGGAGGAGUUCUCACCGUGGUGCAACGGGACCUCCAGCAUCUCUAAAGCUCUGGGAUGCAGGUUCGAUCCCCCUGCGGGGCAGAGUGGGUUAAGGAUCUGGCAUUGCUGCCGCUGUGGCGCAGGUUGCAACUGUGGCUCAGAUCUGAACCUUGGUCUGGGAACUUCCAUAUGCCAUGGUGCAGCCGAAAAAAAGAGAAGAGCCUGGAUUCACCUAAGAGGGUAUCAUGAAUCUGGUGGAAGCUGGAUUCAAUCUGUACGGCUCCUUCAAGUUCCAGGUCAUAAUGUACAUGAGAAGAAGAAAGGAUUUUCUGCAUGUAACUUGCAGCAGAUAAUUUCAUAUCAGCCACAUAUUAUCUCCACAAUAGCCAACAACCACCAAGGGCUUAAGUAGCCUCUCAACAUGUGGAAAUCAGAAAUUCUGACAACUCUUUCACUCAUCACUUUAGUUAGGUUGGUGUCCAGAUCUGGGUGCCAG
This 3521-nucleotide long non-coding RNA is filed under the name Sus scrofa (pig). RNAcentral describes it as "lncRNA (ENSSSCG00045009513.1)". Lineage: Eukaryota; Metazoa; Chordata; Mammalia; Artiodactyla; Suidae. The record is from RNAcentral.